Molecule: transfer RNA, 70 nt
Filed under: Ariosoma shiroanago (shiro-anago)
Lineage: Eukaryota; Metazoa; Chordata; Actinopteri; Anguilliformes; Congridae
Description: tRNA-Phe
Rfam family: tRNA
About the family: Transfer RNA (tRNA) molecules are approximately 80 nucleotides in length. Their secondary structure includes four short double-helical elements and three loops (D, anti-codon, and T loops). Further hydrogen bonds mediate the characteristic L-shaped molecular structure. tRNAs have two regions of fundamental functional importance: the anti-codon, which is responsible for specific mRNA codon recognition, and the 3' end, to which the tRNAs corresponding amino acid is attached (by aminoacyl-tRNA synthetases). tRNAs cope with the degeneracy of the genetic code in two manners: having more than one tRNA (with a specific anti-codon) for a particular amino acid; and 'wobble' base-pairing, i.e. permitting non-standard base-pairing at the 3rd anti-codon position.
Source: RNAcentral
GUUGAUGUAGCUUAAAUGAAAAGCGUAGCACUGAAGAUGCUAAGAUGAGCCCUCAUAAGCUCCAACAACA